AUCUAGCUGACGAGUCCCAAAUAGGACGAAACGCGCGUCCUGGAU
Molecule: non-coding RNA, 45 nt
Organism: Schistosoma mansoni
Lineage: Eukaryota; Metazoa; Platyhelminthes; Trematoda; Strigeidida; Schistosomatidae
Source: Rfam